GACGAACGCUGGCGGCGUGCUUAACACAUGCAAGUCGAACGGAAAGGCCCUGCUUUUGUGAGGUGCUCGAGUGGCGAACGGGUGAGUAACACGUGAGUAACCUGCCCUUGACUUUGGGAUAACUUCAGGAAACUGUGGCUAAUACCGGAUAGGAGCUCCUGCUGCAUGGUGGGGGUUGGAAAGUUUCGGCGGUUGGGGAUGGACUCGCGGCUUAUCAGCUUGUUGGUGGGGUAGUGGCUUACCAAGGCUUUGACGGGUAGCCGGCCUGAGAGGGUGACCGGCCACAUUGGGACUGAGAUACGGCCCAGACUGCUACGGGAGGCAGCAGUGGGGAAUAUUGCACAAUGGGCGGAAGCCUGAUGCAGCAACGCCGCGUGCGGGAUGACGGCCUUCGGGUUGUAAACCGCUUUCGCCUGUGACGAAGCGUGAGUGACGGUAAUGGGUAAAGAAGCACCGGCUAACUACGUG
RNAcentral lists this ribosomal RNA (468 nucleotides) under uncultured bacterium. RNAcentral's name for it is "partial 16S ribosomal RNA". It matches the Rfam family "Bacterial small subunit ribosomal RNA", at positions 28 to 507 of the family's 1533-position model. The record is from RNAcentral.